GCCACUCUGAGCCUGACCUUGAGAAACAACGGGCAGGAGCCAGGCAAGGAGCUCUCUGGAGACAGAGAAAUCCCCAUUGCUGAGCCUACUGCCAGCCAGCACUGUUUUUGGAGCCUGCAGGACUUUGUGUGCAUUUUUGGGGGGAAGCAGCUUCACCGGUGCCCUGCCUGUGAACAAGCCCGUGCCUCUGCUCCUCUGAUGCUGGAUUACCUCUCUGAGUCACAGCUCGGUUUGUUUCCAGGAGAACGCGCUUUCUGCAGUCUCUCCGUGACGCCCCUGAGGACGAGAUCGUGGCAUCUUUAAUCUCCCCACCCGAAGCCCCACCGCCCCGGGCCGUGAGUGGAUGGCAGCGACUUCAGAGGGUGCCUGUGCCAGCCUGGCAGUACCACGGCUGCGGGGUUGUCUUGGCUAUAGUUAAAUAUGGGUCUCUUCCUCUUCAGAUCUGUUUCUGGUGAUGGCUUGGACUAUAAUGCUGGCUGUCACAAUGAUGCUCCAGGCUCUUGUAGUGUAGAAGACAAGAAGACUGUUGAUCUUUAUGCCAAAGUGUUGAUUACAUAGUGGCACUCUGCUUCACUCCAAAUGCGUAGUUCUAUCUGAAACUCACUGAAGCUCCUUCCAUUGGUCUCAGAAGGCUCUACCUGAGGCUCAUAAACUAUGCGUUACCUCAGCUGUAAGCAUCUGAGGAGCACUCAAAAACCUCAAACUCAGGGGCCCAUCAUGCUGAGCUCCAGGUAAGCAUCCAUGAAGACAUCAGGAUUUGUAAGUGAAUGUGCACCCAAUGGUUCACAAGCUGCUGGAGCUUGUGAAAUGGCAGAGCGCUGCAUCCGUCCUCGGUGGCCUCGGGCCUGGUGGCUUCCACUCUGCUAGAAUUGAGGAGAAAAGUCACAUCUCCUGGCAGGGGCUGCUGCAGGGACCAUGACCACCUCCUGAAGGUGACACCAACCUGCAGAGGGAGCAGGUGGUCAGAUGUCCAGUAUCUGCAGCCACGUGUUUGAUGAAAUUACACCUCAGCAGUUAAUCAGUAAGCCAAUGGGUUUAAAAUUAAGCCAGUGCUUCAAAUUGUUCCUGAACAACUUAGGAGGAAGUGCUGAGACCUGGCACUGAUAAUUUAGCAAUGCUAAAUUGAUUGAGAGCUCAUAGAGUUUCUGGGCACUGGUGUCUCUGUAUGGUGCUUACCUUCUAAGCUUACCAACUUCCUCACCAAGGACAAAAUAAAUCCAUUAUCACAAUAGGUUUAAUCUUAUUUGGCUGGGGAGCCAUCUUUUUUCUGAGAAAUUCUCCUUUUUGUUUAAUUCAUUGUUUUGUUUUCCUCUCUAAUGGCAGAGAAACAGCCCUAUCAAGAAUUCCUAAUUUUGAUAAAUUAAUCGUCUCCCUGUAGAGUGAUCAAUUACAGGAGGUGCUGGGAAACGCACUUGCACGUUUCAGAAUGUCUCAAAUUCAUUAGCUAUUCCACUUGAGUUAUGAGUUAGUGAGCAAGACAAAGGAAAAUGCCUUUGGAAUAACUCUUUGCAGCUUCUGUGUUUUCAAAUAGGCAGCUAAAAAUUUACC
Molecule: long non-coding RNA, 1548 nt
Organism: Chroicocephalus ridibundus (black-headed gull)
Lineage: Eukaryota; Metazoa; Chordata; Aves; Charadriiformes; Laridae
Exons: 5
Source: RefSeq, a predicted model, not a curated record